Long non-coding RNA from Onthophagus taurus, 393 nucleotides. RefSeq lists it as uncharacterized. NCBI's taxonomy places the organism in Eukaryota, Metazoa, Arthropoda, Insecta, Coleoptera, Scarabaeidae. The record is from RefSeq and is a predicted model, not a curated record.
CAACCUCAUCACAAACAACUUUCGACUUUGAGGUUAUAUCGUGUUUAUUUUCAAUAAUUAUUUUCCAAUGAAAAUGAGUGGAAAACAAGAUAAAUCAAGUUAAAAACCACGUUUAAGAAAAAUCGAAACGCCCGGCGUAACUCAAAAGUGUCUAGUUUUAGUUUUAUUUCGACGCAUUUUCCAUCCAAGUUAGGUUUGAUCCUCGUUUUUAACUCCGUAGGUAAUAAUCGCCCAACAUGUUUCACUUUCAAUCGCUUCUUGUUCGCGAUUAAUCUCCAGGAUAUUUGAACUUAAUUCUAUGUAUAGAUUGAAAAUAAUCAACAUGCGUAAUUUAUGCUAUUAAAACUGUCUUAAAGAGAUUUGUUUUUUUAAUAAAACACAUUAUGAAACUCA